RNAcentral lists this transfer RNA (76 nucleotides) under Nitrospiraceae bacterium. RNAcentral's name for it is "tRNA-Phe". It matches the Rfam family "tRNA". Rfam says of the family: Transfer RNA (tRNA) molecules are approximately 80 nucleotides in length. Their secondary structure includes four short double-helical elements and three loops (D, anti-codon, and T loops). RNAcentral also lists the same sequence under 2 other names. The record is from RNAcentral. Lineage: Bacteria; Pseudomonadati; Nitrospirota; Nitrospiria; Nitrospirales; Nitrospiraceae.
GCCGAGGUAGCUCAGGCGGUAGAGCACGGCCCUGAAAAGGCCGGUGUCCCCAGUUCGAAUCUGGGCCUCGGCACCA